GAGAAAGAAGCACUAUGGUGUGCAAUCGGCUUGAAACCGUUUGGUGGGGGUUCAAUUCUCUCCUUUCUCG
Molecule: transfer RNA, 70 nt
Filed under: Liolaemus darwinii
Lineage: Eukaryota; Metazoa; Chordata; Lepidosauria; Squamata
Also listed under: 1 other name
Description: tRNA-Ser
Rfam family: tRNA
About the family: Transfer RNA (tRNA) molecules are approximately 80 nucleotides in length. Their secondary structure includes four short double-helical elements and three loops (D, anti-codon, and T loops). Further hydrogen bonds mediate the characteristic L-shaped molecular structure. tRNAs have two regions of fundamental functional importance: the anti-codon, which is responsible for specific mRNA codon recognition, and the 3' end, to which the tRNAs corresponding amino acid is attached (by aminoacyl-tRNA synthetases). tRNAs cope with the degeneracy of the genetic code in two manners: having more than one tRNA (with a specific anti-codon) for a particular amino acid; and 'wobble' base-pairing, i.e. permitting non-standard base-pairing at the 3rd anti-codon position.
Source: RNAcentral